CUCCGCUUACUCGGGGAUAGCCUUUCGAAAGAAAGAUUAAUACCCGAUGGUAUAAAGAGUUCGCAUGUUCUCUUUAUUAAAGAAUUUCGGUAAGCGAUGGGGAUGCGUUCCAUUAGAUAGUUGGCGGGGUAACGGCCCACCAAGUCUACGAUGGAUAGGGGUUCUGAGAGGAAGGUCCCCCACAUUGGAACUGAGACACGGUCCAAACUCCUACGGGAGGCAGCAGUGAGGAAUAUUGGUCAAUGGACGAGAGUCUGAACCAGCCAAGUAGCGUGAAGGAUGACUGCCCUAUGGGUUGUAAACUUCUUUUAUAAGGGAAUAAAGUGAGGGACGUGUCCCUUUUUGUAUGUACCUUAUGAAUAAGAUCGGC
This 370-nucleotide ribosomal RNA is filed under the name uncultured bacterium. RNAcentral's name for it is "bacterial SSU rRNA". It matches the Rfam family "Bacterial small subunit ribosomal RNA", at positions 127 to 497 of the family's 1533-position model. The record is from RNAcentral.